This 70-nucleotide transfer RNA is filed under the name Mantidactylus brevipalmatus. RNAcentral's name for it is "partial tRNA-Val". The record is from RNAcentral. Lineage: Eukaryota; Metazoa; Chordata; Amphibia; Anura; Mantellidae.
CAAAAUGACGCUUAACUGAAGCCCUUCGCUUAUACCGAAAAUAUAUCUGUUAAACCCAGAUCACUUUGAG